This is a long non-coding RNA of Rosa rugosa (rugosa rose), 616 nucleotides long. RefSeq lists it as uncharacterized. The transcript has 3 exons. NCBI's taxonomy places the organism in Eukaryota, Viridiplantae, Streptophyta, Magnoliopsida, Rosales, Rosaceae. The record is from RefSeq and is a predicted model, not a curated record.
UUCUGAUGUUUACUCAUAACCAGAGGACAACAAUCAAAACUCUUGACUGUGAUGUGGGAUGCAGGUGUACGUUCAUGAAUCUAUGCAGUUUUUCGCACCAACCGCACAAAAACUGAUGAAGAAUAGGGAACAAUUGCUGUCGCUGGUGCCCUAGCAGUCUGGCACAGAAAAGUGAAUUUUCUCAACCUCUGUCAUCCCGUCUCAAUCAGUCGAGCAGGAGGUUUUAGCAUUGUUUGUACUCCAGCAGCGGAAGCUGGGUUGAAGUGGUUUGAGAUCGAAUUCGUAUUUUCAGAGAAGGGAUUAAGCUUUGUGAGAAUCACCAUCACCUACCAGUUUCCUGACACGAAAGUAAGAGAGGUGGGUCUGGAAAUCCAACGGGUAAUGACUUGAAUAAACCAUCUGAGUUUCGGCUUCACUCCUUCAUAUGGUCGCCUGGAUCUCUCGCGAGAUUUGAUUUCUAAGCAUAGUCUCUGUUGUAGUUUUGUUAAGCCCUAGCCUACCCGAGUCGAAACAUAAACAAUUUUUGGAGCUUUCUGUAAAAAUGGAAAUAGAUUUGGAUGUAGGUUCUACAACAUAUUCACUUCUUCGUGUAUAUAUUGAGACUUUUUGUUUCUUU